AGCACAUGAGUAGCAAUACGAUGGUGGCGACCGGCGCACGGGUGAGUAACACGUAUGCAACCUACCCAUAAGAGGGGAAUAACCCGGAGAAAUUCGGACUAACACCGCAUAAUACUGAAUAUUCGCAUGGAUUUUCAGUUAAAUAUUAAUAGCUUAUGGAUGGGCAUGCGUAUGAUUAGAUAGUUGGUAGGGUAACGGCCUACCAAGUCAACGAUCAUUAGGGGUUCUGAGAGGAAGGUCCCCCACAUUGGAACUGAGACACGGUCCAAACUCCUACGGGAGGCAGCAGUGAGGAAUAUUGGUCAAUGGGCGAGAGCCUGAACCAGCCAUGUCGCGUGAAGGAAGAAUGUCCUAUGGAUUGUAAACUUCUUUUAUACAGGAAUAAAGUGUACUACGUGUAGUAUUUUGUAUGUACUGUAUGAAUAAGGAUCGGCUAACUCCGUGCCAGCAGCCGCGGUAAUACGGAGGAUCCGAGCGUUAUCCGGAUUUAUUGGGUUUAAAGGGUGCGUAGGCGGAAUAGCAAGUCAGUGGUGAAAGUUUGCAGCUUAACUGUAAAAUUGCCAUUGAAACUGCUGUUCUUGAGUACAGUAGAGGUAGGCGGAAUGUGUAGUGUAGCGGUGAAAUGCAUAGAUAUUACACAGAACACCGAUUGCGUAGGCAGCUUACUGGAGUGUAACUGACGCUGAGGCACGAUAGCGUGGGGAUCAAACAGGAUUAGAUACCCUGGUAGUCCACGCCGUAAACGAUGAUUACUAACUGUUUGCGAUAUAAUGUAAGUGGUACAGAGAAAUCGUUAAGUA
This 800-nucleotide ribosomal RNA is filed under the name uncultured Bacteroidota bacterium. RNAcentral describes it as "bacterial SSU rRNA". It matches the Rfam family "Bacterial small subunit ribosomal RNA", at positions 68 to 866 of the family's 1533-position model. The record is from RNAcentral. Lineage: Bacteria; Pseudomonadati; Bacteroidota.